AAUUCGAAGCAACGCGAAGAACCUUACCAGGUCUUGACAUCCCCUGACAACCGAGAGAUCGGGCGUUCCCCUUCGGGGGACAGGGUGACAGGUGGUGCAUGGUUGUCGUCAGCUCGUGUCGUGAGAUGUUGGGUUAAGUCCCGCAACGAGCGCAACCCUCGACCUUAGUUGCCAGCAUUCAGUUGGGCACUCUAAGGUGACUGCCGGCUAAAAGUCGGAGGAAGGUGGGAUGACGUCAAAUCAUCAUGCCCCUUAUGACCUGGGCUACACACGUGCUACAAUGGGCGGUACAAAGGGAAGCAAGGCCGCAAGGUAGAGCUAAUCCCUAAAGUCGUCCUCAGUUCGGAUUGCAGGCUGCAACUCGCCUGCAUGAAGUCGGAAUCGCUAGUAAUCGCAGAUCAGCAUGCUGCGGUGAAUACGUUCCCGGGUCUU
This 432-nucleotide ribosomal RNA is filed under the name uncultured Anoxybacillus sp. RNAcentral describes it as "bacterial SSU rRNA". It matches the Rfam family "Bacterial small subunit ribosomal RNA", at positions 948 to 1382 of the family's 1533-position model. Lineage: Bacteria; Bacillati; Bacillota; Bacilli; Caryophanales; Anoxybacillaceae. The record is from RNAcentral.